Cordylochernes scorpioides is the source of this 71-nucleotide non-coding RNA. NCBI's taxonomy places the organism in Eukaryota, Metazoa, Arthropoda, Arachnida, Pseudoscorpiones, Chernetidae. The record is from the annotation of a GenBank genome assembly.
UGCAUCGGCCGGGAAUCGAACCCUGGCCGCCCGCGUGGCAGCCGAGCAUUCUACCACUGAACCACCGAUGC